This 420-nucleotide ribosomal RNA is filed under the name uncultured bacterium. RNAcentral's name for it is "bacterial SSU rRNA". It matches the Rfam family "Bacterial small subunit ribosomal RNA", at positions 356 to 773 of the family's 1533-position model. The record is from RNAcentral.
AGGGAAUCUUCCGCAAUGGACGAAAGUCUGACGGAGCAACGCCGCGUGAACGAUGAAGGUUUUCGGAUCGUAAAGUUCUGUUGUUAGGGAAGAACCGCCGGGAUGACCUCCCGGUCUGACGGUACCUAACGAGAAAGCCCCGGCUAACUACGUGCCAGCAGCCGCGGUAAUCCGUAGGGGGCAAGCGGUGUCCGGAAUUAUUGGGCGUAAAGCGCGCGCAGGCGGCUUCUUAAGUCAGGUGUGAAAGCCCACGGCUCAACCGUGGAGGGCCAUCUGAAACUGGGAAGCUUGAGUGCAGGAGAGGAGAGCGGAAUUCCACGUGUAGCGGUGAAAUGCGUAGAGAUGUGGAGGAACACCCGUGGCGAAGGCGGCUCUCUGGCCUGUAACUGACGCUGAGGCAUGAAAGCGUGGGGAGCAAAC